Molecule: ribosomal RNA, 636 nt
Filed under: Pelagia noctiluca
Lineage: Eukaryota; Metazoa; Cnidaria; Scyphozoa; Semaeostomeae; Pelagiidae
Description: eukaryotic LSU rRNA
Source: RNAcentral
GAAAAGAACUUUGAUWAAGAGAGUUAAAAAGUGCGUGAAACCGUUAGUGGGGAAACGGAUGCAGUUAGCAAUGCUUCGGCGAGAUUCAGGCGGUCACCUGGCUGGACGGGCAGUGUGUGGAUCCGAAUGGACUGUCGCUGCUUGGCUUGGUCUUGUGCUCGUCGCACUUCUCGUCGAAGCGCGUCAACAGCUGCUUGACUUGAGCGAUACGGUGCUCGGGAAGGUAGGCGUGUGUCUUCGGACUUGCGUUGUUAUAGCCCGUGGCAUUCCCAGUUCGAGUUUGGCAGAGGCGAACGGUGCAUGCUCUCUAGGGGGCUGGCGUCCUUCUCUUGAUCGAUUGUCGAGCAUGGCGGACUGCUUGCAGUGCGUCUGAACUGCUGUUGGUCAUUCGGGAGGAUCGCGCACACUAUGCACCUAGGUUGUUGGCGGCCAUAUGGCUUCAUCUGACCCGUCUUGAAACACGGACCAAGGAGUCUAACAUGUGCGCAAGUCUUGGGGUGACCGAAACCCAAAGGCGCAAUGAAAGUAAAGGCUGCCUGGCAGCCGAGGUGAGAUCUUCGUUCCGCGUGUCCGAAGCGCAUCAUCGACCGACCUAUUCUACUCCUAGAAAGGUUUGAGUAAGAGCGCAUCUGUUGG